GAUCCGUAGCAUCGUCGGCAGCGUCGGCCGCCACAGGGACUUCGACCGGAUGUUCCUCCCCAUGAGCCGGGUCCUCGGCGAGCGCUGGAAGCGCGUGGACCGCGCCUUUCGUCUGUCGCAGAGCCUGCCCCCCGUCAGGCUCAGCAAGGUGGGCGACGCGUACUUCGUCCUCGACGGCAACCAUCGGGUCUCCGUGGCCCGCUUCCACGGGGUCGAGUGGAUAAACGCCGAGGUCACGGAGUUCCACGCCGCAACGCCCGCAGACCCAGUUGUUGGUGAGAAGGAGACAAAGGUAUGAAAACGAAAACCAGAGAAAACCGGCGGACGGCACCGUUCGCUCCCGACGUCGAAGAGCUGCGGGGGAUCGCGGAUCUCCCCACGGAAAACGCCUUACGAGAAGCCGUCCUGUUCCUGGAAGACCUCGCGGAGGACCCGGCCUUUAUGGGCAUCGAGCUGCCCUCGGUACGGGGCGA
Molecule: unclassified non-coding RNA, 473 nt
Filed under: plant metagenome
Description: partial contains 5.8S ribosomal RNA, internal transcribed spacer 2, and large subunit ribosomal RNA
Source: RNAcentral